This is a long non-coding RNA of Sciurus carolinensis (gray squirrel), 1127 nucleotides long. RefSeq lists it as uncharacterized. The transcript is spliced from 3 exons. Lineage: Eukaryota; Metazoa; Chordata; Mammalia; Rodentia; Sciuridae. The record is from RefSeq and is a predicted model, not a curated record.
UGGAGCGCAACUUGGCGUGGAGCCUGGGACAUUUUAUGAGGGCCAGAUGGCUGGACUCUGUGCAUUGUCAGUGUUGUGGGGUGGGCGACCGAGGGUCUUAGGGGCAGGCCUCAGCACUAGAGCCAGGAGAGUUGGAGAAAACUGCAAACUCAUGCGGGGCAGCCUCCUCCUCCUGACUGACUGCCGUCUUCAUGGUGUGCUCCUUCCCACCAGCGCUCUCAGAAUCCGGAGCAGGUAGUGUAGCCUCUGAUCACACAGGUUGGGCCAUUGGAUGUUCUUCCAGACACUGCUGGACAAUGCACAAGGAAACCUGAGCUUGUUGGAACAAAGAGCAAGGAGAUAAAAGAUGCACAAACAAGACGGGGGAGCGCAGGGAGCUGUGAGCUCGCAGGUGGAGGGCUGGGCGCGGCUUCUGGAGAUGGCAGAGAGGCGGCCAAUCUGGAGGAGGGAGCAAGAGAGCGAGGAGGCGUGGCCUCCAUCUGUCCUGCGGGUUGCCAGGGUCUGCAGGAAGCCGUUCCCACCCUUUGUCCCGGGCUGUCGGGCCUGUUCCCUGAGGACUGUUGAUGGAGUCCUAAUCACUGCUCCCUGGACUUUUGGCUGUGCUCUGCCUGAAUGAAUACCAUCGCCCAUUCAGCACAGCCUGUCCAACACGUGAUGUUUGUUGUCCUUUUGAAAGAGGGCAAUAUCCAGCCCCGAGGUAUCCCGGCCUUCAAGAAAAGCUCAGGUUUGGGCCUGGAAGGAAGUCCUCAUUGCAAAAUGUUCCUUGGGACAUGGAACUUAAACUUUUGUCACUGAGUUUGCUCCUAAUUUUCCGGAAUGACUCAAGUGUUUGCUUCAGACAAUGACAGAGUGUAUCUUGCUUGAAUCAUUGGAUUUCUGUUAUUUUUGUAAGAUGUGGGUGGGCAAUAUGACUCAGUAUUUUCCCAAAAGAUGUGAAAAUUAUAUUGCCUAUUUUGGAUCAUUUCAUGUUGAGAUCUGGAACAUUUUUCUUGAAUUUCAAAUCUUGGAGCUUGGGAAUUUUUUGUUUUUGUUGUGUCUUUCAAUCAUGUCAGAUCUUUUCCUGAUAAAAUUUUAAAGCAAAAUUACUUAGCAAUAGUUCUAAAUUAUGAAGUAGAUUUUGAAUGGUA